UACGUAGGGUGCGAGCGUUGUCCGGAAUUACUGGGCGUAAAGAGCUCGUAGGUGGUUUGUCGCGUCGUCUGUGAAAUUCCGGGGCUUAACUUCGGGCGUGCAGGCGAUACGGGCAAUACUUGAGUGCUGUAGGGGAGACUGGAAUUCCUGGUGUAGCGGUGAAAUGCGUAGAUAUUAGGAGGAACACCAGUUGCGAAGGCGGCUUCCUGGUCUGUUGCUGACGCUGAGGAGCGAAAGCCAGGGGAGCGAACCGGAUUAGAUACCCCCGUAGUCCCUGA
RNAcentral lists this ribosomal RNA (278 nucleotides) under uncultured prokaryote. RNAcentral describes it as "partial 16S ribosomal RNA". It matches the Rfam family "Bacterial small subunit ribosomal RNA", at positions 524 to 799 of the family's 1533-position model. The record is from RNAcentral.